This 303-nucleotide ribosomal RNA is filed under the name uncultured soil bacterium. Its description in RNAcentral is "bacterial SSU rRNA". It matches the Rfam family "Bacterial small subunit ribosomal RNA", at positions 26 to 329 of the family's 1533-position model. The record is from RNAcentral.
AGAUUGAACGCUGGCGGAAUACUUUACACAUGCAAGUCGAACGGCAGCACGGGGGGCAACCCUGGUGGCGAGUGGCGAACGGGUGAGUAAUACAUCGGAACGUGCCCAGUCGUGGGGGAUAACUACGCGAAAGCGUAGCUAAUACCGCAUACGAACUCUGGUUGAAAGCGGGGGACUCGCAAGAGCCUCGCGCGAUUGGAGCGGCCGAUGGCAGAUUAGGUAGUUGGUGGGGUAAAGGCUCACCAAGCCGACGAUCUGUAGCUGGUCUGAGAGGACGACAGCCACACUGGGACUGAGACACGG